This 563-nucleotide long non-coding RNA is filed under the name Mytilus galloprovincialis (Mediterranean mussel). The record is from RNAcentral. Lineage: Eukaryota; Metazoa; Mollusca; Bivalvia; Mytilida; Mytilidae.
GUGCUUGUUUACAUUUUGUGUUUUAGCUAUGUGGUGAUUGAGUUAAGAUUGUUAAGUCUUUCAAUCGACAAACAUUGCUUUGAACGUAGGUCAAAUAGUCAGUUGGGGAAUUUGUUUAGACUUUUUACUUUCUUUGGCACACAAUUAUGUCGAUUUGACAUACCAUCUGGUUACUAUUUAUUUGCUUUUCGUAAUAUAUACAUUGUUCCUCAUUUGAUAGUGCUUUUUAUCAUUUUUCUUUCCUUCUUAAUUGGAUAUAUUGCUUCACUAUUGUUUUAUAAAUUUUGUACAUAUUGUCACACUACAUGUGCUUUUAUAGCAGUCAUUGGGAAACGGUUUGGCGAUGCAGGGCUGGGCGAUCUCCUGUUGGAGUCUGGAGUUAUUGGGUCAGGUUCUUUGACUGGUGUAUUUGAAGGUAAACAUUAUAAUCGAGCGCUGCGAUUGCUCAAAAUUGUAUCUGAAGCUUUUGAACGAUUACGUUGGGAAGCAUUUGGUUCUUGGCUUAAUUCAAAUGAUGAGAAUGAAUUUCUCGAUCCUAAUUUUCAGCAUCUGUUCUGUCAAUC